UGGACUCGGAGACUUGGAAUGUCGUCCUAGAGAAUGCACGUGGCCUCGCUUUUAGAUACUCCUCCGUGGAGAGUGAUUUGUGUGACAUGUAAUCGACUUGUUCGAUUUGUUUGAAGCGAAUGGCUGUUUAUUGUGAAUUGUACUGACUUGCAGGUGAGAUCUGAGGCCAAGGUAAGUCCUCUGCCCUGUGCGUGUUUAGGCAGCCUUUAGUAUAAUAGUUUAUCUAAUCGGGCUUAGUGGGGUAGAACUCGCUGAG
This 256-nucleotide long non-coding RNA is filed under the name Eucalyptus grandis. Its description in RNAcentral is "long non-coding RNA (EGRA_LNC007620)". The record is from RNAcentral. Lineage: Eukaryota; Viridiplantae; Streptophyta; Magnoliopsida; Myrtales; Myrtaceae.